CGGUAAUACAGAGGUGGCGAGCGUUGUUCGGAAUUACUGGGCUUAAAGGGCGAGUAGGCGGUGGAGCAAGUCUGAGGUGGAAUCCUACGGCUUAACCGUAGAACUGCCUUGGAAACUGUUUUACUUGAGUCAGUGAGGGGAGGGCGGAAUUCCUGGUGUAGCGGUGAAAUGCGUAGAUAUCAGGAGGAAGGCCUGUGGCGAAAGUGGCCCUCUGGCACUGUACUGACGCUGAGGCGCGAAAGCGUGGGGAGCAAACAGGAUUAGAUACCCUGGUAGUCCACGCCCUAAACGGUGGGCAUUAGGUGUAGGGCUCGUAAGGGUUCUGUGCCGAAGGGAAACCAUUAAAUGCCCCGCCUGGGGAGUACGGCCGCAAGGUUGAA
This 380-nucleotide ribosomal RNA is filed under the name uncultured bacterium. RNAcentral describes it as "bacterial SSU rRNA". It matches the Rfam family "Bacterial small subunit ribosomal RNA", at positions 518 to 898 of the family's 1533-position model. The record is from RNAcentral.